Molecule: ribosomal RNA, 552 nt
Filed under: Zygoballus rufipes
Lineage: Eukaryota; Metazoa; Arthropoda; Arachnida; Araneae; Salticidae
Description: partial 16S ribosomal RNA
Rfam family: Bacterial large subunit ribosomal RNA (bases 167-461)
Source: RNAcentral
UUAAUAGUAUGAUCUGCUCAAUGAAAUUUUAAUAGCCGCUAAUAGUGCUAAGGUAGCAUAAUCAUUUGUCUUUUAAAUAAAGACUAGAACAAAAGAUUUAACAUUUUAAUUAACUUUUUUUAUUAAAAUAUUCAACUUUUUAUAAAGGUUAUAAAACCUUAUAAAUUAAAAAGACGACAAGACCCUAUCGAACUAAACUUCAGUUUAACUGGGGCAGUAAAUUAAUUAUUAUUUUAAUAAAAAAUUUUUCUUAAAAAUCCUUACAAUUGAUUAAUAAGUUACCAUAGGGAUAACAGCGCAAUAUUAUUUUAAAGACCUUAUAUAAAAUAAAGAUUACGACCUCGAUGUUGAAUUAAUAACCUAAUUAAAGCAAAAUUUAAAACAGGAAGUCUGUUCGACUUUUAAACAAUUACAUGAUUUGAGUUCAGACCGGUGUAAGCCAGGUCGGCUUCUAUCUUUUAAUAAAAUUUUUGUAGUACGAAAGGACCUAAAAAUAAAAUAUAAUUUUUCUAUAUGGCAGAUUAGUGCAUUAGAGUUAGAAUCUAAUUAAAU